CAGGAUGUUGAGGGUAGCGCCCCAGUCCCCCAAGACCCCUAGGAGGUUGUUGUUUUGAAGAUAUUUGGUAUUUUGUAAUAUGUUUUGACUCAUUUGUGAACUUCAUUUCGAUGUUUCAUGACAUUUUGUUUGGAACGGAUGAUUGUUUAUGUUUUAGCAUGAUUUCUUUGGCAACGAUCUCGUUUAUAUGCGACAAUACCUCACAAACUUAGCUAAAUUUGCCUUCCUAAUGGGAUAUUUUGACUAAGUGUCGUAGCACAUACGACCUUAGCUGGAAUUGCAUAUAGGGA
RNAcentral lists this long non-coding RNA (290 nucleotides) under Olea europaea (common olive). RNAcentral's name for it is "long non-coding RNA (OEUR_LNC006087)". Lineage: Eukaryota; Viridiplantae; Streptophyta; Magnoliopsida; Lamiales; Oleaceae. The record is from RNAcentral.